RNAcentral lists this small RNA (117 nucleotides) under Macaca fascicularis (crab-eating macaque). RNAcentral describes it as "Metazoan signal recognition particle RNA (ENSMFAG00000047660.1)". The record is from Rfam by way of RNAcentral. Lineage: Eukaryota; Metazoa; Chordata; Mammalia; Primates; Cercopithecidae.
GCCGGGUGCGGUGGCUCACGCCUGUAAUCCCAGCACUUUGGGAGGCUGAGGCAGGUGGAUCACUUGAGGUCAGGAGUUCGAGACCAGCCUGACCAACAUGGUGAAACCCUGUCUCUA